AAACAUAUUUUUUUAUCAAAAUGGCAACACAAUUUUAUUCGAGAUAUCGAAAGUGCUUAAAAAAAAAAUAAACAAACUCAAUGUUUACAUAUUUUCCAUGUUUUUUAAUCAAAAAAAAAUAAACAAACUGAUAAUUUUUCAGUUUUAAAAAAAGCAUAUAAUGGCACAUAAGGGAUUUGAUAAAUCAACUGGAUCCAGUGUUAGGUGAUUUCAUCUUUAUUUAUCCAUCCAAUAAACAUUGUUCGAGACUCUCCCUGGAUCCAAAAUAUGUAUGUGUGUAUUUUCUAAAUUGGUGUAUGAAUGAACAUCACCAACAUUCAACGAAACCGGUGACUCUACCCAACUCUACCAAAGUACCAACAAGUGAAGUGGGUAACAGUUUGCCAUUCAACUUGUUACUAUCGAGACAUCGAAAUUCAGGAGCGUAAUUAAAAUAUAAAGAUAAGUAUUUAACAACAAAAUAUAAAUAUUAUUUAAAUAGUAUUAGUUAAUUAUUUUUAAAUUAAACAA
Long non-coding RNA from Aphidius gifuensis, 510 nucleotides. RefSeq lists it as uncharacterized. The record is from RefSeq and is a predicted model, not a curated record. The transcript is spliced from 3 exons. NCBI's taxonomy places the organism in Eukaryota, Metazoa, Arthropoda, Insecta, Hymenoptera, Braconidae.